GACGAACGCUGGCGGCGUGCCUAACACAUGCAAGUCGAACGAAGAGCGAUGGAAGCUUGCUUCUAUCAAUCUUAGUGGCGAACGGGUGAGUAACGCGUAAUCAACCUGCCCUUCAGAGGGGGACAACAGUUGGAAACGACUGCUAAUACCGCAUACGAUCUAAACUCGGCAUCGAGGAUAGAUGAAAGGUGGCCUCUACAUGUAAGCUAUCACUGAAGGAGGGGAUUGCGUCUGAUUAGCUAGUUGGAGGGGUAACGGCCCACCAAGGCGAUGAUCAGUAGCCGGUCUGAGAGGAUGAACGGCCACAUUGGGACUGAGACACGGCCCAGACUCCUACGGGAGGCAGCAGUGGGGAAUCUUCCGCAAUGGACGAAAGUCUGACGGAGCAACGCCGCGUGAGUGAUGACGGCCUUCGGGUUGUAAAGCUCUGUUAAUCGGGACGAAAGGCCUUCUUGCGAAUAGUGAGAAGGAUUGACGGUACCGGAAUAGAAAGCCACGGCUAACUACGUG
RNAcentral lists this ribosomal RNA (510 nucleotides) under uncultured bacterium. RNAcentral's name for it is "partial 16S ribosomal RNA". It matches the Rfam family "Bacterial small subunit ribosomal RNA", at positions 28 to 507 of the family's 1533-position model. The record is from RNAcentral.